Molecule: ribosomal RNA, 433 nt
Filed under: uncultured bacterium
Lineage: Bacteria
Description: partial 16S ribosomal RNA
Rfam family: Bacterial small subunit ribosomal RNA
Source: RNAcentral
AGCGAACGCUGGCGGCAGGCCUAACACAUGCAAGUCGAACGAACUCUUCGGAGUUAGUGGCGGACGGGUGAGUAACACGUGGGAACGUGCCUUUAGGUUCGGAAUAACUCAGGGAAACUUGUGCCAAUACCGAAUGUGCCCUUCUGGGGAAAGAUUUAUCGCGUUUGGAGCGGCCGGCGUCUGAUUAGCUAGUUGUUUAGGUAAAGGCUCACCAAGGCGAGGAUCAGUAGCUGGUAUGAGAGGAUGAUCAGCCACAUUGGGACUGAGACACGGCCCAAACUCCUACGGGAGGCAGCAGUGGGGGAUCUUGCGAAAUGGGCGGAGGCAUGACGCAGCCAGGCCGGGUGAAUGCUGAAGGUAGUAAAGUAGUAAAGUUCUUUCAACGGGGACGAUCAUGACGGUACCCAGAGAAGAAGCCCCGGCUAACUUCGUG